RNAcentral lists this ribosomal RNA (571 nucleotides) under uncultured beta proteobacterium. RNAcentral's name for it is "bacterial SSU rRNA". It matches the Rfam family "Bacterial small subunit ribosomal RNA", at positions 1 to 575 of the family's 1533-position model. Lineage: Bacteria; Pseudomonadati; Pseudomonadota; Betaproteobacteria. The record is from RNAcentral.
UAGAGUUUGAUCCUGGCUCAGAUUGAACGCUGGCGGCAUGCUUUACACAUGCAAGUCGAACGGUAACAGGCCUUCGGGCGCUGACGAGUGGCGAACGGGUGAGUAAUGCAUCGGAACGUGCCCAGUCGUGGGGGAUAACUAUCCGAAAGGAUAGCUAAUACCGCAUACGAUCUGCGGAUGAAAGCGGGGGACCUUCGGGCCUCGCGCGAUUGGAGCGGCCGAUGUCAGAUUAGGUAGUUGGUGGGGUAAAGGCUCACCAAGCCAACGAUCUGUAGCUGGUCUGAGAGGACGACCAGCCACACUGGGACUGAGACACGGCCCAGACUCCUACGGGAGGCAGCAGUGGGGAAUUUUGGACAAUGGGCGCAAGCCUGACCCAGCAAUGCCGCGUGCAGGAAGAAGGCCUUCGGGUUGUAAACUGCUUUUGUACGGAACGAAACGGCUCUGGUUAAUACCCGGGGCUAAUGACGGUACCGUAAGAAUAAGCACCGGCUAACUGCGUGCCAGCAGCCGCGGUAAUACGUAGGGUGCAAGCGUUAAUCGGAAUUACUGGGCGUAAAGCGUGCGCAGG